This 459-nucleotide ribosomal RNA is filed under the name uncultured bacterium. RNAcentral's name for it is "partial 16S ribosomal RNA". It matches the Rfam family "Bacterial small subunit ribosomal RNA", at positions 28 to 523 of the family's 1533-position model. The record is from RNAcentral.
GAUGAACGCUGGCGGCGUGCCUGAAACAUGCAAGUCGAGCGGUAAGGCCCCUCCGGGGGUACACGAGCGGCGGACGGGUGAGUAACACGUGGGAAUCUACCCCAAACUGAGGGAUAAGCACCGGAAACGGUGUCUAAUACCGCAUAUGGUCUUCGGAUUAAAGCUUCGGCGGUUUGGGAAGAGCCCGCGCAAGAUUAGCUAGUUGGUAAGGUAAUGGCUUACCAAGGCGACGAUCUUUAGCUGGUUUGAGAGGAUGAUCAGCCACACUGGAACUGAGACACGGUCCAGACUCCUACGGGAGGCAGCAGUUAGGAAUCUUCCACAAUGGGCGAAAGCCUGAUGGAGCAACGCCGCGUGCAGGAUGAAUGCCUUCGGGUUGUAAACUGCUUUUAUGUGCGAAGAAUAUGACGGUAACACAUGAAUAAGGAUCGGCUAACUCCGUGCCAGCAGCCGCGGUAA